This 440-nucleotide ribosomal RNA is filed under the name uncultured bacterium. RNAcentral's name for it is "partial 16S ribosomal RNA". It matches the Rfam family "Bacterial small subunit ribosomal RNA", at positions 338 to 795 of the family's 1533-position model. The record is from RNAcentral.
CCUACGGGAGGCAGCAGUGGGGAAUAUUGGACAAUGGGGGGAACCCUGAUCCAGCGACGCCGCGUGAGUGAAGAAGUAUUUCGGUAUGUAAAGUCCUAUCAGCAGGGAAGAAAAUGACGGUACCUGACUAAUAAGCACCGGCUAACUACGUGCCAGCAGCCGCGGUAAUACGGAGGGUGCAAGCGUUAUCCGGAUUUACUGGGUGUAAAGGGAGCGUAGGCGGGGUAGCAAGUCUGAUGUGAAAUGUUAGGGCUUAACCAUAGGACUGCAUUGGAAACUGUUAAUCUGGAGUACAGGAGAGGUAAGUGGAAUUCCUGGUGUAGCGGUGAAAUGCGUAGAGAUUAAGAGGAACACUAGUGGCGAAGGCGGCUUACUGGACUGUAACUGACGUUGAUGCGCGAAAGCGUGGGGAGCAAACAGGAUUAGAUACCCCGGUAGUC